GAUUAAGUUAUUAAGGGCGCACGGUGGAUGCCUUGGCACUAGAAGCCGAUGAAGGACGUUACUAACGACGAUAUGCUUUGGGGAGCUGUAAGUAAGCUUUGAUCCAGAGAUUUCCGAAUGGGGAAACCCAGCAUGAGUUAUGUCAUGUUAUCGAUAUGUGAAUACAUAGCAUAUCAGAAGGCACACCCGGAGAACUGAAACAUCUUAGUACCCGGAGGAAGAGAAAGAAAAUUCGAUUCCCUUAGUAGCGGCGAGCGAAACGGGAAGAGCCCAAACCAACAAGCUUGCUUGUUGGGGUUGUAGGACACUCUAUACGGAGUUACAAAGGACGACAUUAGACGAAUCAUCUGGAAAGAUGAAUCAAAGAAGGUAAUAAUCCUGUAGUCGAAAAUGUUGUCUCUCUUGAGUGGAUCCUGAGUACGACGGAGCACGUGAAAUUCCGUCGGAAUCUGGGAGGACCAUCUCCUAAGGCUAAAUACUCUCUAGUGACCGAUAGUGAACCAGUACCGUGAGGGAAAGGUGAAAAGCACCCCGGAAGGGGAGUGAAAUAGAACCUGAAACCGUGUGCUUACAAGUAGUCAGAGCCCGUUAAUGGGUGAUGGCGUGCCUUUUGUAGAAUGAACCGGCGAGUUACGAUUUGAUGCAAGGUUAAGCAGUAAAUGUGGAGCCGUAGCGAAAGCGAGUCUGAAUAGGGCGUUUAGUAUUUGGUCGUAGACCCGAAACCAGGUGAUCUACCCUUGGUCAGGUUGAAGUUCAGGUAACACUGAAUGGAGGACCGAACCGACUUACGUUGAAAAGUGAGCGGAUGAACUGAGGGUAGCGGAGAAAUUCCAAUCGAACCUGGAGAUAGCUGGUUCUCUCCGAAAUAGCUUUAGGGCUAGCCUCAAGUGAUGAUUAUUGGAGGUAGAGCACUGUUUGGACGAGGGGCCCCUCUCGGGUUACCGAAUUCAGACAAACUCCGAAUGCCAAUUAAUUUAACUUGGGAGUCAGAACAUGGGUGAUAAGGUCCGUGUUCGAAAGGGAAACAGCCCAGACCACCAGCUAAGGUCCCAAAAUAUAUGUUAAGUGGAAAAGGAUGUGGCGUUGCCCAGACAACUAGGAUGUUGGCUUAGAAGCAGCCAUCAUUUAAAGAGUGCGUAAUAGCUCACUAGUCGAGUGACACUGCGCCGAAAAUGUACCGGGGCUAAACAUAUUACCGAAGCUGUGGAUUGUCCUUUGGACAAUGGUAGGAGAGCGUUCUAAGGGCGUUGAAGCAUGAUCGUAAGGACAUGUGGAGCGCUUAGAAGUGAGAAUGCCGGUGUGAGUAGCGAAAGACGGGUGAGAAUCCCGUCCACCGAUUGACUAAGGUUUCCAGAGGAAGGCUCGUCCGCUCUGGGUUAGUCGGGUCCUAAGCUGAGGCCGACAGGCGUAGGCGAUGGAUAACAGGUUGAUAUUCCUGUACCACCUAUAAUCGUUUUAAUCGAUGGGGGGACGCAGUAGGAUAGGCGAAGCGUGCGAUUGGAUUGCACGUCUAAGCAGUAAGGCUGAGUAUUAGGCAAAUCCGGUACUCGUUAAGGCUGAGCUGUGAUGGGGAGAAGACAUUGUGUCUUCGAGUCGUUGAUUUCACACUGCCGAGAAAAGCCUCUAGAUAGAAAAUAGGUGCCCGUACCGCAAACCGACACAGGUAGUCAAGAUGAGAAUUCUAAGGUGAGCGAGCGAACUCUCGUUAAGGAACUCGGCAAAAUGACCCCGUAACUUCGGGAGAAGGGGUGCUCUUUAGGGUUAACGCCCAGAAGAGCCGCAGUGAAUAGGCCCAAGCGACUGUUUAUCAAAAACACAGGUCUCUGCUAAACCGUAAGGUGAUGUAUAGGGGCUGACGCCUGCCCGGUGCUGGAAGGUUAAGAGGAGUGGUUAGCUUCUGCGAAGCUACGAAUCGAAGCCCCAGUAAACGGCGGCCGUAACUAUAACGGUCCUAAGGUAGCGAAAUUCCUUGUCGGGUAAGUUCCGACCCGCACGAAAGGCGUAACGAUUUGGGCACUGUCUCAACGAGAGACUCGGUGAAAUCAUAGUACCUGUGAAGAUGCAGGUUACCCGCGACAGGACGGAAAGACCCCGUGGAGCUUUACUGUAGCCUGAUAUUGAAAUUCGGCACAGCUUGUACAGGAUAGGUAGGAGCCUUUGAAACGUGAGCGCUAGCUUACGUGGAGGCGCUGGUGGGAUACUACCCUAGCUGUGUUGGCUUUCUAACCCGCACCACUUAUCGUGGUGGGAGACAGUGUCAGGCGGGCAGUUUGACUGGGGCGGUCGCCUCCUAAAAGGUAACGGAGGCGCUCAAAGGUUCCCUCAGAAUGGUUGGAAAUCAUUCAUAGAGUGUAAAGGCAUAAGGGAGCUUGACUGCGAGACCUACAAGUCGAGCAGGGUCGAAAGACGGACUUAGUGAUCCGGUGGUUCCGCAUGGAAGGGCCAUCGCUCAACGGAUAAAAGCUACCCCGGGGAUAACAGGCUUAUCUCCCCCAAGAGUUCACAUCGACGGGGAGGUUUGGCACCUCGAUGUCGGCUCAUCGCAUCCUGGGGCUGUAGUCGGUCCCAAGGGUUGGGCUGUUCGCCCAUUAAAGCGGUACGCGAGCUGGGUUCAGAACGUCGUGAGACAGUUCGGUCCCUAUCCGUCGUGGGCGUAGGAAAUUUGAGAGGAGCUGUCCUUAGUACGAGAGGACCGGGAUGGACAUACCUCUGGUGUACCAGUUGUUGUGCCAACGGCAUAGCUGGGUAGCUAUGUGUGGACGGGAUAAGUGCUGAAAGCAUCUAAGCAUGAAGCCCCCCUCAAGAUGAGAUUUCCCAACUUCGGUUAUAAGAUCCCUCAAAGAUGAUGAGGUUAAUAGGUUCGAGGUGGAAGCAUGGUGACAUGUGGAGCUGACGAAUACUAAUCGAUCGAAGACUUAAUCAA
This 2923-nucleotide ribosomal RNA is filed under the name Staphylococcus aureus. Its description in RNAcentral is "23S ribosomal RNA". It matches the Rfam family "Bacterial large subunit ribosomal RNA". Lineage: Bacteria; Bacillati; Bacillota; Bacilli; Caryophanales; Staphylococcaceae. The record is from RNAcentral.